AUUGAACGCUGGCGGAAUGCUUUACACAUGCAAGUCGAACGGCAGCACGGACUUCGGUCUGGUGGCGAGUGGCGAACGGGUGAGUAAUGUAUCGGAACGUGCCCAGUCGUGGGGGAUAACGUAGUGAAAAUUACGCUAAUACCGCAUACGAUCUAUGGAUGAAAGCGGGGGAUCGCAAGACCUCGCGCGAUUGGAGCGGCCGAUAUCAGAUUAGGUAGUUGGUGGGGUAAAGGCCCACCAAGCCAACGAUCUGUAGCUGGUCUGAGAGGACGGCCAGCCAAACUGGGACUGAGACACGGUCCAGACUCCUACGGGAGGCAGAAGGGGGGAAUUUUGGACAAUGGGCGAAAGCCUGAUCCAGCCAUUCCGCGUGCAGGAUGAAGGCCCUCGGGUUGUAAACUGCUUUUGUACAGAACGAAAAGGUUUCUACUAAUACUAGGAGCUCAUGACGGUACUGUAAGAAUAAGCACCGGCUAACUACGUGCCAGCAGCCGCCGUAA
Molecule: ribosomal RNA, 500 nt
Filed under: uncultured bacterium
Lineage: Bacteria
Description: partial 16S ribosomal RNA
Rfam family: Bacterial small subunit ribosomal RNA
Source: RNAcentral